GCCUCCCUCCGCCGCCAUCAGACNCCUACGGAGGGCCGGCAGUUAGGAAUCUUGCGCAAUGGGAGCAAUCCUGACGCAGCGAUGCCGCGUGAGGGACGAAGGCCUUCGGGUUGUAAACCUCUUUUAUUGGGAAGAUACAAGACGGUACCAACAGAAAAAGCAACCGGCUAACUCUGUGCCAGCAGCCGCGGUAAUUC
Molecule: ribosomal RNA, 197 nt
Filed under: uncultured bacterium
Lineage: Bacteria
Description: partial 16S ribosomal RNA
Rfam family: Bacterial small subunit ribosomal RNA
Source: RNAcentral